Non-coding RNA from Phrynosoma platyrhinos (Desert horned lizard), 71 nucleotides. Lineage: Eukaryota; Metazoa; Chordata; Lepidosauria; Squamata; Phrynosomatidae. The record is from the annotation of a GenBank genome assembly.
GCCAGCGUGAUGUAGUGGUUUGAGUGUUGGACUGUGACUCUGGAGACCAGGGUUCAAAUCUUUGCUUGGCC